Molecule: ribosomal RNA, 438 nt
Filed under: denitrifying bacterium W94b
Lineage: Bacteria; Pseudomonadati; Pseudomonadota; Alphaproteobacteria
Description: bacterial SSU rRNA
Rfam family: Bacterial small subunit ribosomal RNA
Source: RNAcentral
UUUGAUCCUGGCUCAGAGCGAACGCUGGCGGCAGGCUUAACACAUGCAAGUCGAGCGGGCGUAGCAAUACGUCAGCGGCAGACGGGUGAGUAACGCGUGGGAACAUACCUUUUGGUUCGGAACAACACAGGGAAACUUGUGCUAAUACCGGAUAAGCCCUUACGGGGAAAGAUUUAUCGCCGAAAGAUUGGCCCGCGUCUGAUUAGCUAGUUGGUGAGGUAAUGGCUCACCAAGGCGACGAUCAGUAGCUGGUCUGAGAGGAUGAUCAGCCACAUUGGGACUGAGACACGGCCCAAACUCCUACGGGAGGCAGCAGUGGGGAAUAUUGGACAAUGGGGGCAACCCUGAUCCAGCCAUGCCGCGUGAGUGAUGAAGGCCCUAGGGUUGUAAAGCUCUUUUGUGCGGGAAGAUAAUGACGGUACCGCAAGAAUAAGCCCC